CGUCGUGUUACUGGUAUAUAUCGGGCUGAUGUGAUGUCAGUACACAGACUAGUGAAUAUAUAACUACAGGUAGUACACUCGGUCGUGUUAUUGGUAUAUACCGGGCUGAUGUGAUGUCAGUACACAGACUAGUGAAUAUAUAACUACAGGUAGUACACUCCGUCGUGUUACCGGUAUAUAUCGGGCUGAUGUGAUGUCAGUACACAGACUAGUGAAUAUAUAACUACAGGUAGUACACUCCGUCGUGUUACCGGUAUAUAUCGGGCUGAUGUGAUGUCAGUACACAGGCUGAUGUGAUGUCAGUACACAGACUGUAGUUAAUAUAUAACUACAGGUAGUACACUCCGUCGUGUUACCGGUAUAUAUCGGGCUGAUGUGAUGUCAGUACACAGACUAGUGAAUAUAUAACUACAGGUAGUACACUCCGUCGUGUUACCGGUAUAUAUCGGGCUGAUGUGAUGUCAGUACACAGACUGUAGUGUGUAAGUACACAGACUGUACAAAUAGUACUUGUACCACUAAUUCAUAAUUUAUCCAUUAAAAACUAAUGAACUUCUUAAAAAUUUAUGCAUGGAUGAAUUGGAUGUACAUCUCGUUAUUUAUUAUUGCGUAUGCUAAAACAUGUCUAUACAACAAUUUCCCUAAAUAUUUUGGAGAAAACUGCUCACAUAUAUUUCAUAAAUAAGUAGAUUUUUUUUAAACAGUUUGCCUUCUUUUGUUUGGUUUGAUUACCCUCAGGGGUCUGGUUACAUCGAGAACAGAUUUGGGAUGAUUACUAGUAGGUACCUCGUUUUCUAACUAAAAUGAAGAAAAAUCAAUUGGAGUACAGAUUUGACACUUAUUUAAUGGAAUGAUAGGAUAUCACAAUUUUAUAGAACCAAUGUAAUAUAUUUUAUAGGAUAUCAGAAAUAAUUAAAUGGCUUCACUUUUGAAUUACCAAACUGACCAAAUCAGAUGACAAUAUGUCAUACAAUUUUCUCUUAAUCUCCAUAAUUCAUAACACUGUCUUAAAUGAAAAAUUCUGUAUUCUGUAAAGGAAGAUUAGUUUUCUAUAAUUACAACUUGGAUCACAUAACUUAUAUUGGGAAGAUUUCUCAUUUUACUAGGAAGAUUUUUUUUAUAUAACUAUUUUUCACUAAAAUGUUAAUAUUCAUUAGAAUGGUGUAACGGCUGGAACUGAAGAGCAAUAGAAGAAAUCUCUUGGAAUGUUGUAUACAUUUAUUAACAACAGGAAUAUUUUUGUUCAUGCAUGAGGAUUCCUCGUGAUGCACAUAAAAUGUCCUCCAGUGAAGAGUAGACAUAUGAUUUUUACAUGGAUUGUCCCAUUAUUGGGACUACAAGCUCAAAUAUCAUUGUUAAAUAUCUUUUUUUUUGACGUCUUGCUGAUGAAAAGAGUGCUGUUUUAAGUUACUCACGUGGUGACUGUUUCUGUAGCGUUAUCUGUGAUUUAUUUUGUUGUAUUUUAAUGACUAUAUAGUUUUCAUUGUUCACCCAAAUUGUUGUUAUAGCAACAUUUCCUGUCCUACUUGCCAUAGUGAUGUUGUGGGCAUCCUUUUCUAGUUACCGAGACUUCCCACAUUGUUUACUGCGGAUGUACAUAGACUGGGUUAUCAUUGUUAUUUAAGAAGACACCAGUCCUAUGUUUUGUUUUGUUAAGUGGUGAUUUUUGAGAAUGGUUUCUAUGUUUAUUAUAACUGUUGUAACUGUACUGUCCAACAUAAAACUGGAAGUACAUUUCAGUGAGUUGUAGAUAUUGUAAAUACAUGUACAAAGCAAUAGGGUUACCCCUUUGAUGAGCACUAACAUAUUGUAUCCUCAUUAAUCUAUCAAGAGCUUCUUAUCCUCAUUAACAUGUCAGAGUAUUGGUGAGGGUGUUCAAUUCAGAUUCGACCUAGAGGAAAUAGAAUUGGUCCAACUUAGUCUGAUGUAUAUUCUGUCUACUUGUAAAAUCCUCCUUCCUUUUACCUAAAAAGGGUUGUGAUCAUUUUAAUGUUAACAUUGAACAGGAAUACAUUAGAGUUUUUAUUUUGUUUUGUUAUAUAAUGGUUAUUAGCGUACAUAAUAUUCAAUCAGCUAUUGUAAUGUUGUAUACAGUAAUACUACAUGUAUACUAUACUAUAAUGUUGACAUUGUUCUAAGUGAUAUUGUAAUUAUAAUGUCAACAUUAAUGUUUAGGUAUCACUGUAAUGUUGUCAUUAAAUGUUGAUGUGAUACUGUAAUGCUGACAUUGUUUAUAUAUCACCGUAAUGUUGGCAUUAAGUGUGUAGUUGAUACUGUAAUGUUGACAUUAAGUGUUGAUGUGAUAAUGUAAUGUUGACAUUGUUUAGAUAUCCCCGUAAUGUUGACAUUGUUUAGAUAUCCCCGUAAUGUUGACAUUGUUUAGAUAUCCCCGUAAUGUUGACAUUGUUUAGAUAUCCCCGUAAUGUUGACAUUGUUUUGAUAUUACAGUAAUGCUGAAAUUAUUUAAGUGUUGAGAAGAUACUUUUAUGUUGACAUUAAGUGUUGAUACUGUAAUGCUGACAUUCAGUGUUAAAGUGAUACUAUAGUGUUGACAUUAAGUGUGUAGUUGAUGCUGAGAUGUUGACAUUAAGUGUGUAGUUGAUACUAUAGUGUUGACAUUAAGUGUGAAUGUAUCACUGUAAUGUUGACAUUAAGUGUGAAGGUAUUACUGUAAUGUUGACAGUAAAUGUUAAGUUGAUGCUGUGAUGUUGACAGUAAGUGUAGUUGAUACUGUAAUGUUGACAUUAAGUGUGAAGGUAUUACUGUAGUGUUGACAUUAAAUGUGAAGGUGAUACUGUAAUGUUGAUACUUAGUUGUUAGUUAUUACUGUAAUGUUGACAUUAAGUGUGUAGUUGAUACUAUAAUGUUGACAUUAAGUAUUAAGGUGUCAGAUACUGUAAUGUUGACAUUAAAUGUUUAGGUAUUACUGCAAUGUUGACUUUAUGUCGAAACAGUUAUAUAUAGGUUGUCAUGUCAUUUUUCUUGUGAUAUGAAAAAAACACAUUCUAAGUAGACUAGUGUAUAUAUAUAUAUGAGUUUCUGCCACAACAAAUGAAUCACAUCCUGGUCUUAAGGAAGCUAUAACGACGUACUAUCCGUAUCAAUUCCUGCUUGCAUUAGAUGUAUGUACUGUAUAAUUCCAGACAUAUUUCAGAAGAUGGUGGUGGUGAACACUUAUAUAAAGUUAUCUGGACUUAAUGUUUAGGAAUCUGUUGUCUGAUAAAUUACCCAGGAAGCAUGUACUGUUAGCAAUGGGGUUAUUUAUGAUGUAUUUACUCAAGACAAGGAGGCCAAAGGUCACCAGAGGUUGUAGCCAUAUUUACCUGGUUUAACUACCUUUACAAUACUUGCAUUAACUUGUUGAUGUUAUUACUGCUAUAUUAAGUAUGGACACAUGUAUAUAGAAAUCAGAAUUUCAUUUAAAUGGCUGCUUUGGAAUGAAAUAUUUUAAGAAUAAAAAGCAUGCCAUGAACUAGCUUGUUGAUAUUGUCCUGUUAUAGGGAAUCAUUUCCAGAGUAGACCUUGUUUAAAUGGCUUUAUUCUAUUUGUGGUGUCCCUUUGUUUAACAGGUCCUUUGUUGUAAUGUUAUUCUAUAUAACCAUAUUUUCCACUUAACUUUAUCAUUGGUAACUAAAGAUAUACUAUUUUAACCAAUGUGUGGUGUGGUGUGCCUCACAUGAUCUGAAGUUAUUAAGUGUACAUUUUGGAAAGGUUACAUGAUCACACAAAAUCUGUUAUGGUUGCUAUCCAUUUUGUGACAUAUUAAUGAUUGAUACUAAUUUCUAUCCGAUGCUCUGAUCAUAUCAGGGUUAAUUAUGUCAUAUUAAAGACAUGCAUCUAAUGUAUGAGCAAAUUUGAAUUGGUCUUAACAUUCACAAAGGAAAUUGUCCGAUUGUAUUAAUUCUCUGUCAAGUAUACACAAUGAAUGCUUUCUCUUUGAUUGACAUCACAUAUUGGUGCACAUUUACGAUGUACCACAGUGACAUUUUUAAUUAAGUUAUAAGACUAAGAGUAUUGUUGAUGUGAUUAUCCUUUUGUCUACUUGGGAUAGAGGUAUAGCUUCAUUUAUUUUACAAAAUUAAUGAAACAUGUCAACUUAUAAUAAUUAAUCUCGUUGGUUAAAAGUGCAUUUGGAGUCAUUGUGUGAGGAAACCGGACUUGGGAAAAACCAACCUCAUGGUUGGUCAGGUGAUACACACAGAAUUUUUUAAAUGUUUUUUCUACAUCAACAUUACACAAGUGUUUCCAGUUAACUGCCUGAUUAGGCUAUUUGUGAUAGGUGUUCGCCAAGAUUAAAAAAGUAAUAAACCAAUACAUUAUGGUUGUUAAUCGGACCAUUUCGUUGUUCAGUAUUUGUUAGUGCUUUAGUAGUUCAUCUGGGUUUUAGUCAUCUCCCAAUAAUACACGUUUAUGUGCAGCAUGUUAUCCUAGAUUAGCUUGUAAUGAUGUGGUGCAAAUCUCUGAAAUACAACUUACUUAUAAUAAGCUACAGAAACCUAUUGGAGCAACAAUUCUAUUUGAAACAAAUACACUGUACAUUUUUUAUAAGGGUAAUUUCUGAAAUACUGUUUAAUUGUAAAAGAAAUAUUUUCUAUAUGUUUGGUUUUCAUUAUAGAUAAUUAAAGAAUAUAAUUGACCAGUAAAACAAUUUCUCUUCUACUGUGACCUGUCCUACCUUACGUUGUUGCCUUGAAGCUCCUUCCAAUAAACCCCCCCUAGCCGAAGUUGGUGUAAUUUUUAUUGAGGCUUUUACCUCCACAUGCAGACUGUGAUAUGGUAGUGUUAAUCCUGUUUAGACGGUCGUUUUGUUACAUGGAUGCUGUCCAAAUACUGAAUUAUCAACUAAUGCUAGAUUACAGGAAUCCUUGUUUCUGGUAAAUUCUUUCCAUUAAGACAGUAAGACCCCGUGUCAAAAAUUCUUUCCUUUGUGACAGACAGUAGAACCCUAUGGAUAAUUUUUUUUCGUUAUGAGAGUAGAAACCUGUAGACAGGUAACUAGGAACAGGAUAAAACACCACAGAACAUUAUACUAAUAUGUGAUACCUGUACUGCUACACAAGGUUAUCAUAUUAAAUGGUACGGCUCCAAUAUUACGUUACAAAGGUAAUUUGGUGAUAAAGCUUCACAGUUGCCUUGUUUCAUUUUCUGUGACUUGAUGUAACAAUUGACUGUAUACCUGUGUAUAUAUACUGCUAUAUAGUAAAAGUCUUCAGAAAUAU
Molecule: long non-coding RNA, 5219 nt
Organism: Pecten maximus
Lineage: Eukaryota; Metazoa; Mollusca; Bivalvia; Pectinida; Pectinidae
Exons: 2
Source: RefSeq, a predicted model, not a curated record